UAACUUUUAACAAUGGAUCUCUUGGCUCUCACAUCGAUGAANAACACAGUGAAANGNGAUAAGUAAUGUGAAUUGCANAAUUCAGUGAAUCAUUGAAUCUUUGAACGCACCUUGCACCUUUUGGUAUUCCAAAAGGNACACCUGUUUGAGUGUCAUGA
Molecule: ribosomal RNA, 158 nt
Filed under: Cronartium ribicola
Lineage: Eukaryota; Fungi; Basidiomycota; Pucciniomycetes; Pucciniales; Coleosporiaceae
Description: 5.8S ribosomal RNA
Rfam family: 5.8S ribosomal RNA
About the family: 5.8S ribosomal RNA (5.8S rRNA) is a component of the large subunit of the eukaryotic ribosome. It is transcribed by RNA polymerase I as part of the 45S precursor that also contains 18S and 28S rRNA. Functionally, it is thought that 5.8S rRNA may be involved in ribosome translocation.
Source: RNAcentral